GCGAGUAAUUGACCGCUAUCAUUUAUUUGAUAGAGGAAAGUCCAUGCUUGCACAGACUGCGAUGUCUGUAGUGUUUCUGUAGGUCAAAUAAAUAGAACCUAGCAUCUCUAACUUGAUGACGGCCACUAAAUACCUAAGGUUAGUAAUAAUACGGUAAAUGGUGUGAAAGUACCACAGUGACGAAUUAAUGGGAAACCAUUAAGUGAAACGCGGCAAACCCCAGAAGCAAGAAACCUAAAUUUUGGUAAGGGAACGGAUAGUUAAAAACUGAAUUAAUUAUUCGACUAAUAAGAAAAUUAUUAGUAGACAAAUGGUCAAUAUUAAUUUCGUAAGAAAUUAACACAGAACAUGGCUUAUGCU
Molecule: RNase P RNA, 360 nt
Filed under: Mycoplasmataceae bacterium
Lineage: Bacteria; Bacillati; Mycoplasmatota; Mollicutes; Mycoplasmatales; Mycoplasmataceae
Description: RNase P RNA component class B
Rfam family: Bacterial RNase P class B
About the family: Ribonuclease P (RNase P) is a ubiquitous endoribonuclease, found in archaea, bacteria and eukarya as well as chloroplasts and mitochondria. Its best characterised activity is the generation of mature 5'-ends of tRNAs by cleaving the 5'-leader elements of precursor-tRNAs.
Source: RNAcentral